UUCUACGGCCAUGCCACCCUGAACAAGUGAUCUCAGAAGCUAAGCAGGGUUGAGCCUGGUUAGUACUUGGAUGGGAGACCACCUAGGAAGAUCAGGUGCUGUAGGCG
RNAcentral lists this ribosomal RNA (107 nucleotides) under Pteropus alecto (black flying fox). Lineage: Eukaryota; Metazoa; Chordata; Mammalia; Chiroptera; Pteropodidae. The record is from RNAcentral.